This 83-nucleotide non-coding RNA is filed under the name chicken gut metagenome. RNAcentral describes it as "Glycine riboswitch". It matches the Rfam family "Glycine riboswitch aptamer", at positions 9 to 86 of the family's 94-position model. From Rfam's summary of the family: This family represents the bacterial glycine riboswitch. Glycine riboswitches usually consist of two metabolite-binding aptamers domains with similar structures in tandem. The record is from RNAcentral.
GGACUCUGGAGAAGCUCAGCAAUGAGGGCCGAAGGUGCAAGGCGGCGCAGGCCGCUAAUCUCUCAGGCAAAAGGACAGAGGUU